Molecule: non-coding RNA, 3883 nt
Organism: Pelecanus crispus (Dalmatian pelican)
Lineage: Eukaryota; Metazoa; Chordata; Aves; Pelecaniformes; Pelecanidae
Source: RefSeq, a predicted model, not a curated record
AUUAAAUCCAACGGUGAGCUGCUCAUUAAAAAUGUUCAGCUGCGGCACGCUGGGAGGUACACAUGCACCGCUCAGACGAUUGUUGACAACUCCUCGGCUUCGGCUGACCUUGUGGUAAGAGGUCCUCCAGGCCCUCCCGGAGGUAUAAGAGUAGAAGAAAUUAAAGACACUGCUGUAGCACUUACCUGGAGUCGUGGAACAGACAAUCAUAGCCCUAUUUCUAAAUACACUAUCCAGUCAAAAACCUUUCUAUCUGAAGAGUGGAAAGAUGCCAAAACAGAACCAUCAGAUAUUGAAGGAAAUAUGGAAUCUGCUACAGUGAUUGAUUUAAUUCCGUGGAUGGAAUAUGAGUUCCGGAUAAUAGCAACAAACACUUUGGGGACAGGAGAGCCUAGUAUGCCAUCACAGAGAAUUAGAACUGAAGGCGCUCCUCCUAAUGUGGCUCCUUCUGAUGUCGGAGGAGGGGGUGGAAGCAAUCGAGAGUUGACAAUAACAUGGAUGCCUUUAUCAAGAGAAUACCACUAUGGCAAUAACUUUGGUUAUAUAGUGGCUUUCAAGCCAUUUGGUGAGAAAGAAUGGAGAAGAGUUACAGUUACUAAUCCUGAAAUUGGCCGGUAUGUCCACAAGGAUGAAUCAAUGCCACCUUCAACCCAGUAUCAAGUAAAAGUGAAAGCUUUUAACAACAAAGGGGAUGGACCGUUCAGUCUCACUGCUGUCAUUUAUUCAGCACAAGAUGCUCCAACUGAAAUACCUACAGAUGUGAGCGUAAAAGUUUUGUCAUCUUCUGAAAUGUCUGUUUCUUGGCACCAUGUUUCUGAUAAAUCUGUGGAAGGAUAUCAGAUUCGUUACUGGGCUUCUCAUGAUAAAGAAGCAGCUGCACAGCGGGUACAAGUGAGCAAUCAAGAAUAUUCAACCAAACUGGAAAACCUGAAGCCUAAUACUCGCUACCAUGUAGAUGUUUCUGCCUUCAAUAGUGCAGGCUAUGGACCUCCCAGUAGAACCAUCGAUAUUAUUACCAGGAAAGCACCUCCAAGCCAACGUCCAAGAAUUAUCAGUUCUGUAAGAUCUGGUUCAAGGUACAUCAUCACCUGGGAUCAUGUGAAGGCAAUGUCAAAUGAGUCUGCAGUUGAAGGAUACAAAGUACUGUAUAGACCAGAUGGACAACAUGAAGGCAAGUUGUUUUCAACUGGAAAGCACACAAUAGAGGUCCCAGUCCCCAGUGAUGGUGAAUACGUUGUUGAGGUCCGAGCACACAGUGAAGGAGGAGAUGGAGAAGUAGCUCAAAUAAAAAUUUCAGGUGCCACUGCUGGAGUACCGACUCUCCUCCUGGUCCUGGUGGUGCCUACCCUGGGUGUCCUCGCCUGCUCGGGAUUCUGAAUGUAGCUGGAUUUACCUUGUCCUCCGCCUAACACAAAGGAUGCCCUUUGAAGAUGAGGACCACGACUCUUUUUGACUCCUGUGGCACCACCCUAAGCCAAAUAAAUUACACUUUAAAAUAAAUUACCCUACCGAUUUCCUAUGAACUUUAAGAGGACUGAGGCAUCCAGGAACUCCUUCAUGAAGUAAAUCAACUUUUGAAAGGCUAAGAAAUAUUUUUAACUUGUUCCAAUAUGCCUUAUAAAACACUUAUGCUGAUCUGUGACAGUUGCAUGAUUCGGUCCAAUGGGGCAAGUUACAGUGUUAAAACCCAAUAACAUAGGCUGUACAGUGAAAGUAAAAUCACCAUACGUAGGUGCUUUAACUUGAAUAACAAAUUGUGAAAUAUAAUAGAGAUUGAAAUGUUGAUUGUAUGUGAUAAAUGUAAGAGUACUACGUCUGUCUGUACUAUCCUAUAUGUUUUGUGUACCGCAUAUUUUUGAAUGGCCCCAUCAUCAUUUAUUGGGAUUACUGGUUUUUAGAGAGACAGUCAAAGCAAAAACAUUUCAUUUUUUUAGAGCUAUAUUUCUUGAGGCUAUUGGAUAGAAUUUGAAGGACUUGAAAUAAAAGUCAGUGACAAGGAAUUUUUUAUUUUAAAGAUGUUCAGAACACCCGAGACAUGCGUAGCUUGCUCAGCUUAAAGGAAUUUACCUGUACUUCACUGACACGAGUUUUACCAUAUUCUUUUCUUAAAACAAUUCUGUUGAAAAAUUCCGUUAUGGUCGUUGUUGCUGAUUUUAGGAGUGAAAUGUCAGCUUUCAGGGAAGCAGCGUAAUGUAUUGGUUUUGCUUUAGUAUUAUUACUAUGAUUAUUAUUAUUAUUAUUAAGGUAGCAAUAUAACACUUAGGAGUUUGGAGAUGGAGUCCAUGUUAAGAUCAGCCUAGUGGACCAUGAAAUGGUAGGAAACGUAUGUUAUUUUUUAAAAUGCAAAGAUUUAAAAUAUAAAAAAAGAAAAAGAUAUACAAUAAAUGGCAAAAACAGAGUAGCACAGUAAAAAAAUUAUUAUAUUUACAUUUUUAUGCUGCAGAUGCCCAGUGUUACCUUCCUGUAGUGAAGGUGUACAUUUGGGAGAAUUAUAUGCUUUUUCAAGAACUUGAUAUUAUUCUAAUGUUCAUAGUGUUGUAAAUAAGAGUUUUAAAGUUCUGAGACCGUCUCCCUAUUUGAUAGAGUACUGAAUGAUCCAACUGUGUGUUAAUACAUGAAAGUCAGAUCCCAACUGUUAGUCAAAUCUAAAUGUUUACUAUGGCCUUUUCAAACUGGGAACUCUAUUAGAGAUAGAGAAUGUUUUUGUUCUGACUGUGUCUAGAGUGUUUCAGUGUUGGGUUUUUUGUUGGCUUGUUUGGGGUUUCUUUAAGUUGUUAAAGAAAUGCACAUUCCUUUCAUUUUUCAUGGUGUGCUGGGAAUUAGUUUGAGUGUGAAUGUUGAAGAAACACAGUGAUAUUGAAUCAGCUGGCUCAAGUAAUAGUGCAAUGUCUGAUGCUUCAAGAAUUAUAAGCUUUGAAUCAUAUUUUGUUAGCACAACCUUGCUAGCUACUUAGAAAUAGAUUUUAUCUUUUUAGAACUGAUACUGUAGAGGUCCGUAAUAAUAAUAUUUACAUGAAGCAAGAAUACGUCUAUUAAUAAUUCUCACCCCCUUCUUUUAUUUGUAUAAUUUUGUACUAUAUAUUUACAUGUAAAAGCGUAGAGUCUUCAUCAAGAAAUAUCAAUAAUGCUGUUUUAGUUUAAUUUUAACUAUUUGUUACAAGAUGAAAAUUUUUUAAAUAGGUGAAAGUGAUAACUUCCCUAUAGAGGAAUGUCAAAGUGUCAAACACUACUGAGUUUCAUAAAUUGUAUAAUUAUUUGAAAGAGAAAUGAGCUGUCUUCAUACAUAAGAAACUAAUACGCUGUAAGCCUUCUGUACAAAAAAAAAAAAGUGGUUUAUUGUGUUUCAUUUGGUUUGGUUUUUUUGCAGUAUGACUCAUUUUUAUAUAAUCUACAACCACAGCUAAAUCCUUUGCCAAAUGCAUGAUUGCCUUUUACUUUUCUAAUACAUGGUGUAAAAAGCAAAACUGUUUAGUUUUUGCAUGGAAAUGACCGGGGAAGGAAAGCCACUUCUCUUUUUUAAAUCAGCAACACAGAUGAGGUAGGUCUCGAAUACUGACCAGAUAGUUGGAGAUCUUUCUGUUUCACAUAAUUGUGUAAAUUUGGCUGGGACCUUCAGUUUCAAAUUGUUGUCCAGAAAAACUAACUAAAGUUAUCUGUUUUAAAACGCAAGGUUCUUAAUUAAAGUUUAUAUAGAUAGACAUAUUUGUUGUUUCUUUAUAUUUCAGGAAACUUGAUAUUACUAUGAUUUGAUACUGAUGAAUAUUGAACUGUUUUUUUAGUUACUUUUUAUCUUUUUUUUUUUUCAAAUGAGUAGAGCAGGACCGUGCUUUGUCCUUUUUAUGAACGAAAAGUAAAUUACGAUUAAAUAAAUGUAUUAAUGUUA